CUCAGUCGUUACUCUCUCUUUUCCUUCUCUCCACUCUCUAUUUCUAACAAUAAAAAUAAGCAACUCUCCCUGCUACUGCCGAAGGAAGAAACCCCAACCCCGGGAAUAUAUUGAUAUGUAAAGGAUUAGGGGCAAGUUGCCUUACUGGACUAUGGGCAAGUGAAGGAUCUACCAAAUCAGUUGCGGCUUAGGUAUACUAAUUUGGUUCGUGUCGUCGCUGAUAAUGAUCUUCAGGUAUUUCGGUAAUCUCCUUGCUCCGAUGAAACCAGCGGUGGUCAACUUUUGCCGGUGUUCCCACGAUGCUGAUCUGAUAUUUGACUUGGUGCUCCGAGAAAACCGGCCGUGGGGUGAGGAGUCUUCAGCAGUUACGGCGUUGAUGGAGAAGAGGCUAGGGCAUGCGACGUGGUAGGGUUUUUGGAAACCUUGAUCUUCGGGUUUAACUUGGAGCGGGUCCUAGGCCAUCAACGGGUUGGAUCACUGCUUUGGGUUUCUGCUAGGCCUAUUGUUGAUUAUUAUUGGACCUGAAUGUAUCCAUAUAAAACAAGUUAA
Molecule: long non-coding RNA, 549 nt
Organism: Hibiscus syriacus
Lineage: Eukaryota; Viridiplantae; Streptophyta; Magnoliopsida; Malvales; Malvaceae
Exons: 3
Source: RefSeq, a predicted model, not a curated record